AGUGUUUCUCCGAUUCUCCGUUUCUCUUCAAGAUAAAAGUGCCGGCGGUUCUAUCUGUUGUUUCCACUACUCAGUCAUAUGCGGCAUCUCUCCGACGGUUCUCUCUCCAUAUGCAGCCAUUGGAGGUGUCUCGCGGCAGAAUUUCAUUUCCAUGGGAGCCAAAAAAUUGUAUGUUUCUAGAUUAUCUUCUCUCUCUCGAUCCAGCACCGAUCUUCCGACGCAAUCAUGUUGGUUCCUUCGAAUUUCCAGUCAUAAUAAGGAAUCGCACUUUUUGUUUUCUAAUUUUCGUUUGUUUUUUUUUUGUUUUUAAAAAAAGCCCUAAUUUAAGUUCACUAAAUUACUCUUUAUUAUUGAAGACUCCAUGUUUAUAAUUUUUGGGUUGUUGUCAAUGUGCAAUAGAAAGAGACAAUUUUGUGUAUGUUGGAAUUGUUACCCUCUGUCUGCCAUCUUCAUCUUCAUCUUUUUUUUUUUAUAUAUAUGUUGGAAUUGUUACCCUCUGUUUGUAUCUGUUUAAUACAUGUAUAUAUCUAUAUACUAAUGCAAGUCUGUAAUUGAAAAAUUUGUUAUAUUUGAUUUCGAUAUGGCAUUUGAAGAUUAAUUAGAUAAAACGUAUUUUUUAUUUUCAAAAUGUUAUUGCCUUAUAUCCUCUAAUGAAGUUUGAAUUUUCAUUUAUGACUUUUUGUGGGUUUAUGUCUUUCUUGGACUGCAAAUAUACUAUUGAUGGUAUUUCUUGUCUAGCUUACCCUUUUAUUCUUAUAUUUGUGAGUAUUCCUUGAAUUUUCUUUUUUGGAGUUUCUUGUUUACAUAGGAAUGUUGUAAUGUGUGAUGAUUGACUAUAUAGUUUAUUUUUAUCUUAGUUAGUUCGGUGUGCAUGUAUUUGGAUGUUUGACAGAUACUUCUUCGCUUUGCAGUUUUAACUUCCGCACAUAUCAAUCUCAGCUGUUAGAACUUGCAAGACGAAACAAAUUCCAAUUACAAAGGUAUUUACUUUGGGAAUUAAUCUUCAUUGUCAAGUUUAAUAUGGUAAUUAUUGAUCGCCUGAGGUUUGCCAUGUAGAAGUAGAAUUGAAUCUCCUAAAUUUCUUAUUCGCAAGCUUUAAUUUUCUUUAUAGAGUUUUUUAUUACUUUAAAAUUGGAAUUCUGGCUACUUUUAAUUUUAAUAAAUUGUUGCCAGGAAUAUCAGUAAAGAACACAGUACAUUGAAGUAGUUGUCUGUUUAGGUUUCUUUCCGCAAGCUCUGAUGCCCUGUGAAUAUUAACUAGUUACACAGAUAACACCCUCAUUCUCAUAACCCUAUUGUUGUCAUCAUGUUUGAGAUCAGUUUAUAUGAAAAAUAAUAUAAAUUUAUAGGAGGGCGAUAACAUAUUCUACCCCUUUUAUGAUCUUAAAUUUCUUUAUCUAUCAUGAUUUUCUGAAUCAUUGCACAUCAAAAAUUAUCUCUUUAAUUUUUUUGCCCCCAUUAAUUAGAGUGGGAUAGAUAGUUCAUUUUAUUUUUUUGGUGUAUAUGAACAAUUCCUAAAUUAUGUGCAUCUCUUUGAAGGUCUUCAUCUGAGAUGGAAUUUAUUGAAGUUGGCAUCGCCGUUGCAAUAAACUGGUUAUGGUUUAGAGCUCAGUAAGAUGUUACAUUUGUUGUAUUGUUUUCCAACAUAUAUAUUAGAGUCAUUUUAUUUUACAUAAGCUAAUUAAGUAAUUUACGUUCUCCUCUUCUUUUGUAAUAGGUGAUGCAGUCAAGGAUGCAGUCAAGGAUGACUCUGAACUAGUUUUUUGUUGUGACAUUGUCUUUUUUCUUUUUUCAUUAAUGAGUAUGAAUACUAGAAGAUUAAUGUUAGAGUUUGUGUUCUAUAGACAAUUUGGUUGAGAUGUUUUUAAUGACAACUAUUUAU
Molecule: long non-coding RNA, 1882 nt
Filed under: Erythranthe guttata (spotted monkey flower)
Lineage: Eukaryota; Viridiplantae; Streptophyta; Magnoliopsida; Lamiales; Phrymaceae
Description: long non-coding RNA (EGUT_LNC001362)
Source: RNAcentral